CGAAGCACCAUUGUAGCUCCACAAUACUGACACCUCUUUGUUUGAGCGGGAGAUGAAGACGAAGACAUGUUGAAUCUUCUCAGUUGUACCUCUUCUCACUCAGAUCUUCUCACUGAAACCUCUUCGGACUCAUACCUUCUCACUCAUAGUUCUCAGUCAUACCCCUUCACUCAUAACCCUAAACUUCUCACUCAGCUCUCU
Molecule: long non-coding RNA, 201 nt
Filed under: Prunus persica (peach)
Lineage: Eukaryota; Viridiplantae; Streptophyta; Magnoliopsida; Rosales; Rosaceae
Description: long non-coding RNA (PPER_LNC001172)
Source: RNAcentral